AGGUUUUAUAAAAUCUGAAAUUCAAAAUUGGAAAUUUUUAGGUACUAAAAAGACCUGCCAUGUUUUAACUGUUUAACGAAUCUAAAAUUUAAAGGGGGACUUUUCGCUGACGAAGUAGCGGGUGUACGUUUAGGAACUGGUGUACUGAACUAGGAAAUAGAUUGACACAGCUCUGUAUGUGCUUUAUCCUUUUAGGAAUUUUGACGAAGUACUUAUUUUUCCACAAAAUUUAAAAAAUGGACAACUCAUUCAGAUACCUCCCCACCUUCCUAAUUUCCUUUUUUUAAUGUUAAUUUAAAUUCAUGUAAUUUUCUUUGAAGGAUAUCAAAACAGUGAGUCUAUACUACUUAAA
Molecule: long non-coding RNA, 352 nt
Organism: Musca domestica (house fly)
Lineage: Eukaryota; Metazoa; Arthropoda; Insecta; Diptera; Muscidae
Exons: 2
Source: RefSeq, a predicted model, not a curated record